RNAcentral lists this non-coding RNA (161 nucleotides) under uncultured Anaerosacchariphilus sp. Lineage: Bacteria; Bacillati; Bacillota; Clostridia; Lachnospirales; Lachnospiraceae. The record is from RNAcentral.
AGGGUUUCUCAACCCGAUGAGAAAAGGGAAUCAGGUGUGAAUCCUGAGCGAUCCGGUCACUGUAUUCAGGGAGUAGCCUUUGUUUGUAUCCAUUGUACUUUUACAGUAUGAGAAGGAAAAAGGUAUAUGUUGAUCUGUAAGUCAGGAAACCUGCUUAGUAC